This 262-nucleotide long non-coding RNA is filed under the name Monodelphis domestica (gray short-tailed opossum). Its description in RNAcentral is "lncRNA (ENSMODG00000043739.1)". The record is from RNAcentral. Lineage: Eukaryota; Metazoa; Chordata; Mammalia; Didelphimorphia; Didelphidae.
CUCAGUGCUUAGCACAUUGAUAUAUAGUAAGUGUUUAGUAAAUGCUUAUUGACUAAUGACUGAAAAUCUGAAAGGAUUUUAGGAACCCCUAAGGAUAUUGGGCCACUCUGACGAAUAUUCACAGGGAAAUCUGAUGCAGAAACUUCUUCUGCCAAUGCAGGCAAGGAAGAACCUCUGAAGUAUUUUUGAGCAGAUGAUGAAACCGAGGCUCAAAGAAGCUAAGGUGUGAAUUAGAUUGGAUAAUCUCUGGGAACCCUUUCGA